This 466-nucleotide ribosomal RNA is filed under the name uncultured bacterium. Its description in RNAcentral is "partial 16S ribosomal RNA". It matches the Rfam family "Bacterial small subunit ribosomal RNA", at positions 28 to 507 of the family's 1533-position model. The record is from RNAcentral.
GAUGAACGCUGGCGGCGUGCUUAACACAUGCAAGUCGAACGGAAAGGCCCAAGCUUGCUUGGGUACUCGAGUGGCGAACGGGUGAGUAACACGUGGGUGAUCUGCCCUGCACUUCGGGAUAAGCCUGGGAAACUGGGUCUAAUACCGGAUAGGACCACAUUUUGGAUGGUGUGGUGGAAAGGUUUUCGGUGUGGGAUGAGCUCGCGGCCUAUCAGCUUGUUGGUGGGGUAAUGGCCUACCAAGGCGUCGACGGGUAGCCGGCCUGAGAGGGUGUACGGCCGCAUUGGGACUGAGACACGGCCCAGGCUCCUACGGGAGGCAACAGUGGGGAAUAUUGCACAAUGGGCGCAAGCCUGCUUCAGGGACGCCGCGUGGGGGAUGACGGCCUUCGGGUUGUAAACUCCUUUCGCUAGGGACGAAGCGUUAUGUGACGGUACCUGGAGAAGAAGCACCGGCUAACUACGUG